RNAcentral lists this small RNA (66 nucleotides) under Ureibacillus manganicus DSM 26584. Its description in RNAcentral is "Lysinibacillus manganicus DSM 26584 Bacillaceae-1 RNA". The stretch from base 10 to 66 matches the Rfam family "Bacillaceae-1 RNA", at positions 10 to 67 of the family's 67-position model. Lineage: Bacteria; Bacillati; Bacillota; Bacilli; Caryophanales; Caryophanaceae. The record is from Rfam by way of RNAcentral.
GAACACCACAUAUCGCUGAAAGCGCUACGUCCUGUAGCAUCAGCGAUAUGACCAACAUCGUGUUGG